CUGAAAGAAUUUAACCAAGGGCCAGGGAUUUGCUUGUACAGACCCCAGGAAAAGCACUUGGCAGUGAACUAGAUAUUAAGUAAUUCAGUGUGGUUGGAAGAAAACUUAAGUAAUACACAAAUAUAGUUCAGUAUGGCUUGUGCAAAAGUCUGGAGUGGAGAAGCUAAAGUUGGAAGAGGAACUUUACAAGAAGCAUUAAGCACUUGCUGUUUUACAGAAGCAGAGGUAAUUUCACCUAAGAGGAAAUUCUGAUAAUCUCCAACAAGGGGCGCUAUUCACUUUCAUUUGAAUGAUGCUCCCCUCCCCAUCACGACGCAGCACAAAUAGUCAUUGCAGUUGAAAAGCCAACUGUAUACAAAGAUCCAUUUAACCUUAAAAGGAAGUUGUAUUCAUUUUUUUGUAGCAAGAAAAAUAAAAGGCCCAGAGACAAAUAUUGGGGUUCAAGCUGAAAGCUGAAAAUCAGAAAAGCAAAGCAUUAACUCUUACCUCUACCUCAGCUCAGACCACAUAGGUUGAUGGAUGGAUGGAUGAAUUAGCAGGUGAUUAGGUACACAGCGGAAGUUUCCCUUGGCCCACCUUGGAAGAGGUCUUUGUCAGAGGGAGGAGAAACUGGCUCUCACAGGCGUGCUCAACCACCAAUACCAGAGCAUCAGAGCAAAUGAC
RNAcentral lists this long non-coding RNA (663 nucleotides) under Cricetulus griseus (Chinese hamster). RNAcentral describes it as "lncRNA (ENSCGRG00015031726.1)". Lineage: Eukaryota; Metazoa; Chordata; Mammalia; Rodentia; Cricetidae. The record is from RNAcentral.